This 454-nucleotide ribosomal RNA is filed under the name uncultured Bacillota bacterium. RNAcentral describes it as "bacterial SSU rRNA". It matches the Rfam family "Bacterial small subunit ribosomal RNA", at positions 9 to 460 of the family's 1533-position model. The record is from RNAcentral. Lineage: Bacteria; Bacillati; Bacillota.
GAGUUUGAUCAUGGCUCAGGACGAACGCUGGCGGCACGCCUAACACAUGCAAGUCGAACGGAGAUAUUUUGGUUUACUGAGAUAUCUUAGUGGCGGACGGGUGAGUAACACGUGAGCAACCUGCCUCUGAGAGAGGGAUAGCUUCUGGAAACGGAUGGUAAUACCUCAUAACAUAACGAAGCCGCAUGACUUUGUUAUCAAAGAUUUAUCACUCAGAGAUGGGCUCGCGUCUGAUUAGAUAGUUGGUGAGGUAACGGCUCACCAAGUCGACGAUCAGUAGCCGGACUGAGAGGUUGAACGGCCACAUUGGGACUGAGACACGGCCCAGACUCCUACGGGAGGCAGCAGUGGGGAAUAUUGCACAAUGGGGGAAACCCUGAUGCAGCGAUGCCGCGUGGAGGAAGAAGGUUCUCGGAUUGUAAACUCCUGUCUUAAAGGACGAUAAUGAACGGUA